AGUGAACGCUGGCGGUAGGCCUAACACAUGCAAGUCGAACGGCCGCACAGUAAGAGCUUGCUCUUACGGGUGGCGAGUGGCGGACGGGUGAGGAAUACAUCGGCAUCUACUUUUUCGUGGGGGAUAACGUAGGGAAACUUACGCUAAUACCGCAUACGACCUACGGGUGAAAGCAGGGGAUCUUCGGACCUUGCGCGAUUGAAUGAGCCGAUGUCGGAUUAGCUAGUUGGCGGGGUAAAGGCCCACCAAGGCGACGAUCCGUAGCUGGUCUGAGAGGAUGAUCAGCCACACUGGAACUGAGACACGGUCCAGACUCCUACGGGAGGCAGCAGUGGGGAAUAUUGGACAAUGGGCGCAAGCCUGAUCCAGCCAUACCGCGUGGGUGAAGAAGGCCUUCGGGUUGUAAAGCCCUUUUGUUGGGAAAGAAAAGCAGCAGGUUAAUACCCCGCUGUUCUGACGGUACCCAAAGAAUAAGCACCGGCUAACUUCGUG
This 492-nucleotide ribosomal RNA is filed under the name uncultured bacterium. RNAcentral's name for it is "partial 16S ribosomal RNA". It matches the Rfam family "Bacterial small subunit ribosomal RNA", at positions 29 to 507 of the family's 1533-position model. The record is from RNAcentral.